UACGUAGGCAGCAAGCGUUGUUCGGAGUUACUGGGCGUAAAGGGUGUGUAGGCGGUCUUCUAAGUCUGGUGUGAAAUCUCCCGGCCCAACUGGGAGGGUGCGCCGAAAACUGGAAGGCUAGAGUGCGGGAUGGGAGAGUGGAAUUCCUGGUGUAGCGGUGAAAUGCGUAGAUAUCAGGAGGAACACCUGUGGUGUAGACGGCUCUCUGGACCGCAACUGACGCUGAGACACGAAAGCGUGGGUAGCAAACAGG
RNAcentral lists this ribosomal RNA (253 nucleotides) under uncultured bacterium. Its description in RNAcentral is "partial 16S ribosomal RNA". It matches the Rfam family "Bacterial small subunit ribosomal RNA", at positions 524 to 776 of the family's 1533-position model. The record is from RNAcentral.